CCCUUAGAUGUUCUGGGCAGCACGCGCGCUACAAUGGUCUUCGCAAACGGAUGCAUUCUCGAAGGAGAAUGCCAAUCUUGGAAUCUAUGCCUUGGUCGGGACAGUUGCUUGCAAUUUUUCGACUCGAACCAGGAAUUCCUUGUAAUCGUGAUUCAUCACAUCACGAUGAAUACGUCCCUGCCCUUUGUACACACCGCCCGUCGCACCUACCGAUUGAAUGGUCCGGUGAAGCCUCCGGAUUGCGCGGCUUUGGCUGUCGCGAGAAGUUGGCUAAACCUUACCAUUUAGAGGAAGGUGAAGUCGUAACA
RNAcentral lists this ribosomal RNA (308 nucleotides) under uncultured eukaryote. Its description in RNAcentral is "partial 18S ribosomal RNA". It matches the Rfam family "Eukaryotic small subunit ribosomal RNA", at positions 1470 to 1796 of the family's 1831-position model. The record is from RNAcentral.